AGGAAGGCCCACGCGGUUAAGUAGCAGGAGACUACUGAUAGUAAGUACAUUUUCGAUGUAGUAAAUGGCGGUUAUAAGUUUAUUUUUUCUGUCGGAAAACGGUAACGUACAAAAAGAUCUGUCUCAAUGUAUCAAAAGGAUCUUAUUAUAAAACUGGAUCAAAAGGAUCAUAGUAAAGAAAUUGAUGCUAGAAGCUCGCCGGUAAAAAGAACGAAAGCCCAUGUAGCCAAGCUUUAGCAGGCUACGGAUGGUUGUUACAUUUUAGAUGUAGUAAAUUGCGGUUAUAUGUUUCCUUUUCCGUCGGAAAACGGUAACGUACAGAAAGAGAUAAAAGGAGCAAUUGAUCAAAAGGAUCAUAGUAUAGAAAUUUAUCAAAAAGAAAAAAUUCAUAGAAUAAAAAAAAUAAAAUAAUAUUGUUACCGGAAGUUUGUCGGUUAGUAGACUGAAAACCCACGUGCCAUUUAUCAUGUUGUUAAUACGCCCGUUAAUACGUUUAUAGUCGUAUUUAAUAAGAAUGGGAGGCCUCGAUAUAUUUAAAAUUAUUAUUUAUUUAUGUGUUCUACUUUCGAUAUUAGAGAAGCGUAUCAUGAUAUUGAUACAUUCACAAACGGUGUGGUUUGAGCUAUCAAGAGAAUAGCAGGCAGUGUUAGGUUGUUAUAAGUUUAUAUUUGGCACGAUAACAGCCGAUCAUAUAUUUAUUUAUUUGUUCUACUUUCGAUAUUAGAGGAGCGUAUCAUGAUAUUGAUACAUUCACGAACGGUGUGGUUUGAGCUAUCAAGAGAAUAGCAGGCAAUGUUAGGUUGUUAUAAGUUUAUAUUUGGCACGAUAACAGCCGAUCAUAUAUUUACUAAAACUCGUUAAAACUAAAAUGAGGUGUACUAGCAUUCUUACGUCAAAUUGACUUAAAAUAGUUAUUUGCUUUUGUGAUGAUGGCAUACAUCACAGUGUAGAAUAUUUAAAAAAAACAACAACAUUAUAUGCUAGUGACUAGACGAGUUUGGAUGUUAACUGGCUGAAGAAACAGUAUUUUGAUUCCUUCUCAGAGAGUAGAAUGGCUCGGGCAUGUGAUCGAUAUGCAUAAAAUGCAGUUUUUCAUAAUUAAAAAUUGAGUAGCUAGGCUAGAAAAAAGUAUUGAUUCGAUGAUCUAUCUUAUUUAUCAAACGAAAGAAAAAAUUGUACCAAAAGAUAAAUUAAUAGCUAGUCUUGUAGGGCAGAUAAUUUCCUUUCAGAGUGUGAUUGUAAAUAAAGUUUGUGAUAACAAUGCAUAUAUACAAUUGCAUAAAUACCAGAGCUAGUUGGAAAGCUCCCGUUAUUGUAACGUUGCAAGCUAUUUCCAAACUUAGAUUAUGGAAAGAAAGCACUAGGCAGUUAAUCAACGAAAAGAUUCAAACACAAUCAGUUGUUUUUGUGUAAUAUAUUUGCUGAUGCAAGUACCACAAGUUAUGGUUUAUGAUGGUUUUAUAGAAAGUUGUAGCUUUAAUGUAGAUAUAGGCGAAAUGACUGUCAAGCUAACGAUUUUCAUAAAAAUAAAAAAGCAAAUUUAUUUUCAAUUUGUUUUAUUCCAUUGACGAAGAGAGUAAAGGUAUGUACUCGUGGUCUUUGAGACCCGAAAAUGAGAAAUUUGGAAUGUACAUGAUCUUAAUAAAAAGAGCAACCUGUUCCCGGAAGUGAACAGAUUAUUGACGAAAAGAGACAAGUUAUUCCUGGAAGUGAUUACUAUAUUACACUGUUAAAAUCAAGGAGGUACACUGCCAGUGUUUCUAUAAACGAAACAGGAAAUGUUUUGAGAGGUACUCUGAAGGAGCGAUUAGAGGGCUCGGGCUUGCAUGGGCUUCGAAGAGAUUAGAUGGCGGACAGAAUGGCUAAGUAAAUACUUAGAACAAUCAAGAGCAGACAAUACGGUGAAGAAAAGAAUUCUUCAUGUGCACAUUUCAAAUACUGUGAAGAAAAUGUAGUCGCCAUGCCAGCCUAACAUAUAUCAGUAGUAAUGUACAUGGCUCAAUUGAUGGGUCGAGGAAAUCUAAUAACGUUUUUUACAUCUGUGUUUUACAGUAUUAAAUGGAUCCAUUCUAUUAAUAGUGUACAUGAUCCAAAGAAAGAUUUAACAAACUAUUAUAAGAAGCUUCAAAGCGUGUGUGUUUCAAACCAUCUCACAAGAAAGAUGUAUUAUGUACAUGUGCAUUCAUUAGAGAUGAUACAAACAUUGUGUUUGAUAUAAGGAGAUUCCGCUGUUUUCAUUGAUUGAUCAUUUUUUGGGUUAUGCAUGUACAUGUAUCAUGCAUAUUAACAAAUUAAGUGAGUUUCAUUGUAAUGACCUACAAUUGAAAUCUAAUCACUUUGUUAUUAAUGUACGCCAUUAUAAUACUGGCAUGUAUACGAAUGGUCCGGAUAUUAUAAUUGCAAAAUGUACAACUACAAAUUCCCAUAUGGCGUUUUAUUAACAAAUAUGUAAUUAGCAAAUUGGUCAGAUGAAUGAUUUUUUGUUCAAACCAGUUAUUGGUUAUAUAAAUGUAAUUAUUAAGACUAGCUAACGCCAAGGGCGUGUUUUAGUGAUGUUUGAAGCGACAUUGUCGAUGGAAGUCUGAUAGGGCUAAAGAUGAGUACUUUGAUGAUUCUCUAGACAAAAAGCUUUUUAUCACCAGACAAUUGAAAUUAUAAUUGAUUUGCGGUUCGAAUUUUAAACCUUACUAACCUUUGUUUUUGUUCUAUCGCAAGCCUUGCCCAAUGCAAAACGUGUUGUGUUUUGUGCUUAGUUGUGUGAAGACUUUUCAGUUCUGUGCGUUACGGAGUAUAGCACAGAACGUAUGUCUAAACAUAACGCACCGCACAAAACAGGUAUAUGUGCGGUUCGUUCAUGCGUGUGGUUGUCACGUGAGUGAUGGUCACUCAGGUGGACAUAGGCGGGAAUUUGCACGGGGUGUUCAUUGUUUGGUCAGUUCUACGCUAGACUUCGAUCAGUAAACUUUUACUUUUUUAAAAUUCGAACCGCAUUAGUAGUAAAUUGGCUCAAAUGACAUGUUAUGUUUGUGUGACAUAAUGUUAAGUUACAUGUUAAUAUUGGUUGUUUUCAGGUACAGUUUUCCAGAGUUAUUUUACAUUGGGCUUCUGAUGAAUUUUUAUCUCUGGUUUUUACCCUGGCCUUGAAAACACCAAUUAAGGACACAAUACUAAAAGUGAUGUAUACACAUUAUAGUUAUAAUUUGUUAUAUAAUUUAUAGAUCGAAAAUUGUCCUGUUAAGGUUGUACUACGAUUGUACUUGAUUGCUAUAUGAUACGAAUAUGUAAUAUUCGUGGAUGUGUGUUGUCAAUAAACUGAUCGCAAGCCUUGCCCAAUGCAAAA
This is a long non-coding RNA of Dreissena polymorpha, 3340 nucleotides long. RefSeq lists it as uncharacterized. The record is from RefSeq and is a predicted model, not a curated record. The transcript has 2 exons. NCBI's taxonomy places the organism in Eukaryota, Metazoa, Mollusca, Bivalvia, Myida, Dreissenidae.